RNAcentral lists this ribosomal RNA (365 nucleotides) under uncultured bacterium. RNAcentral describes it as "partial 16S ribosomal RNA". It matches the Rfam family "Bacterial small subunit ribosomal RNA", at positions 338 to 701 of the family's 1533-position model. The record is from RNAcentral.
CCUACGGGUGGCAGCAGUGAGGAAUAUUGGUCAAUGGGCGGAAGCCUGAACCAGCCAAGUAGCGUGCGGGAUGAAGGCCCUACGGAUCGUAAACCGCUUUUGCACGGGGAUAACACCCUCCACUUGUGGAGGUCUGCAGGUACCGUGCGAAUAAGGGCCGGCUAAUUCCGUGCCAGCAGCCGCGGUAAUACGGAAGGACCGAGCGUUAUCUGGCUUCAUUGGGCUUAAAGGGAGCGUAGGCGGGCGUUCAAGUCAGCUGUAAAAUCUCGCGGCUCAACCGCGCCCCGCAGUUGAAACUGGACGCCUGGAGUUCACAACAGGCAGGAGGAAUUCGGGGUGUAGCGGAGAAAUGGAUAGAUAUCACG